RNAcentral lists this long non-coding RNA (11524 nucleotides) under Ananas comosus (pineapple). RNAcentral's name for it is "long non-coding RNA (ACOM_LNC037994)". The record is from RNAcentral. Lineage: Eukaryota; Viridiplantae; Streptophyta; Magnoliopsida; Poales; Bromeliaceae.
CGAAAUCGACCAAGGGUCGUGUUGGUGAGCUUUGGAAAAGCCAAAGAUGUCAAAAUCACCAAAAGUGCAUUAGAAAAGAGUCCACGAGAGCGAAUAGUGCAAAACCUGCAUUGGAGCAAAGUUGCUCUCGGGGACCGGUCCUUGGCAGGGAGGGACCGGUCCCAUCGGCUGGUGGUUGCAGGGAUCCUUGAGGCAACCGGUUCUUGGUAGGGAGAGACCGGUCCCCGAACGUGACCCCAGCGAGAAAAGCCAAAAUUUGGUUAAGUCGCGAAAUCCCAUCUCUCGGGAACCGGUCUCUCAGGAAGGAACUGGUCUCCCAGGGACCGGUCUCUCAAGGAAGGACCGGUUCCCAAACGCGUAAACCGGGCUGAGGCUCUCGGGGAUCGGUCCCAAGUCGAGGAGACCGGUCCCUCCGCGCGCAGACAGCCCAGUAAGGGCAGUGCAAAGAGGCAAAAGUUGAGGGGCUAAUCUAGAUAUUGUUACAAUAGAGAGUAUAGGGGACCACCUCUCACUCUCUCACCCUCAUUUCUCCCUCACUCUCUCACACUCUCUUGCUCCCUCUCUCUCUAGAAGGAAAAGAGAAGAAGAAGAAGAGAAAGAGAAGAAGAAUAAGAAAAGAGAAGGAAAAGAAGGAAGAAAAGGAAGGAGAAGAAGAAGGAGAUCAAGCUAGAGAAAGCUUUGGACCUCUCUCUCUUCCUCUCUUCUCAUUUGGAAGCUACAACAAGAGGUAGGCUUCUAACCCUAGUUGUGAAAUUUAGGGUUUUUGGGUUUUAGCUCUUUGGAUGGGAUCAAAUGGAUCCCUAGCACCAUGAAUGGUGGGAUUGAAGCUAGAAUCUAGAAUUUUGAGAUGGGUUUAGCUUAAUGCUAACCCUAGGGCACCAAAAUAGGGUUUUUGGUAAAGUAUGAGAUUGAUCUCAUUUGAGGUCUUGUAAACCUAAUUGGUAGGUGCCUAAACGCCGGGGCGAAGUCGGAUUUUGCAUUCGUAAAGCGAGUGAAAAGCUAUUGGCAAAACAAGACCGACUAAGCUUCAUUUGGACCAAGAAGGCUAAAGCCUCGUUGUAAAGUUCGUUGGAGGGCAUUUCUAGAGCCUCCAUAUCCUCAAGAGGUGGGGGGUGUCAUCCCAAAGCAUCAGGGUUUUCUUUUAUGUCUAUGUUAUUUAUGUUGAUCAUAUUGCAUUAUAGGAUUAAUAGAUAUAUAUAUUUCCUUUUCCUUGCAUGCUUCUUAGUAGUGUAACUUAUGAGUCGAACACAUGGACUAGGGCAGCAUGAGGAUUGGGUCUUGUGACAUGAAAAUCCUAUAAUGGCAUAAAGAGCCGAACUUGGACAUAGCCUAGUAGAGUGGCAUUGAACGAGUGUAGUAGAAACACUAAACAUGAACGAGUGGCAAGUAGAAUAAUUGAGACAUUUACUACAAUGACUGAAUGAGUGGCAUCGAGUCUAGUGUAACAAACAGGUUAUGAACCUAGGGAUAGUAGUGGUCCCAACAUUGAUUAUAUAUCAUGAUUAUGCAGCAGAGGUAAAUUGACCCUUGUAGAUAGGGUAUCCUCUUGUGAGGAUUGGAUCAUACUCACUAGUCUGUUUUCGCUGUCGGUGGUCGCUCCACUAUGGCACGAGUCUCUGGAGUACUUUACUAGGGGUAGACGUAGUUGUCCCACAGACGGUCUCGGUGUGCGAAUGCAGCUUUUCCUCACCUAUGAGAUUGAAAGUGAGUCGAGGGCUUAACCUACGGGUUAGCCAAGUAGAUUGGGUAAUAAACAUGAAAUGCAUAGCAGAUUUGCAUUAUUACCUUGAGUAUACAUAGUGUAUGUUGUAGUUUGCAUUGCUAUGUACUUUUCUAUGCUCAUGACAUGAUACUAGCAUGAUAGUAGUUGUUGCAUGCAUUAUUAUCAUUGGUGGCAUAAUAGAGUAGUUGCAGUUCAUUUCUCUAUAUAUCUAUCUCUCUCUAUCUGUGCAAGCUUAGACCUAGUCGGAAAACUGGCAGCGUCGCGGCCAAACCCACUGGGAACUUGUCACGUCCGGGUACCAACGGAAGCAUAUCCGGUCGCAUGCACAGACCCGCCGUGUACCUCACAACUCAAGUAUACACAAGGCGUCUACAACUAUAUAGUAAAAGCAUAUAAUUCUAACCAGGUAAUCAGAGCACGACUUUUAAGUUAAAACUUAUACAACCCAAAACCUUAAUACAGUAAAUAAGAACAAAGUAUACUUUUACAAAAAUUUUUUAUACAUCUCUGUACUAAACUAUAUAAACUGCAGGAGGUGAUCUAGUACACGUACAAAAAGGCUCUAGCUAGCCGCUGACCCCUCGCCAGGAACCCUAGCCUUUCCCGCUGUGGAAGGCUCUGUAAAAACAACAACAAAGAGGGCGUGAGAACUAUUAAACAAUAGUUCCCAGUGGAUAAGCCGCCGCGUGUGGCGAAGUACACCACUAGGUCAAUUGUGGCAUGAGUAGAUAGUAAUAAGUAAGCAAGUAAAUGCAAUAAGCAAGUGCAAUAAGCCAAUGUAACAGUAAACUACUCAUGCUAUUUGUUUAACAAUCAAUAACUAUCAAUAGACUGCAGGUAUCAAUUAUCACGAUGAAUUCUAUCAAUCAUAUUACUUGACAAUUAACCAAACAUAUACCAGAUUGCAAGCAAGAUAAUUCAUUAUUACCGGAAUUACAGAUAAUAUCAUGUAAUUACUUUCUACAUUAGCAAGAGUGAAACAUUCUUUAUGUCGCUACCAAUCAUGAUGUCAACUUCUAGGUUAUUCAGUACUAAGCUCACUUUAGAUGUCAACUUUCUAGUCUGUUCAUCAAUAAGUUCACUUAACCAAAGACAUAUAGUAACCUUACUACUCUGUCCAGCUAAGGUUAAAGUACUUGACAUAACCCAAUUUCCAACGGACUUACACAAGGUAAGUUCAAGCCGCGCCGUGCCUAAUGGCCCCGUGGUAGUCAACAUCCCCACUCUAGGAAUAAGCCUCCCCCACGGCAUUCCAUUUCGGCGCUCACUUCGUACAUUUGCGAGCAUCUGUCGCUAAGCUGUUCAGGAGUGCUGGCUUGGGGGGAAGCGACCCCGCAAGCAUGUGCAAACGCGCACAAUGGUAUGCAAGCCGUAGUCCACAGUACCGGUCUCACAACAACAUCAUGUCCCUGACAUGGAAUCUCAACUCAAACCACUCCGGAACGCGGGGCUGGAGGGGCGCGACCCCUCGCAAGCAUGUACGAAAGAGCAUAAUGGCAUGCUAGCUAUAGUCCAGGGUACACAUAUCUCAACAGCAUCAUGUCUCUGACAUGGAAUCUCAACUCGACCCAAGGUCGGCACUGUAGUACCCAAUCAUAAGUCACUAUCAACAACUUGUUGACAAGAUUCUACCAGUCAUAAUAUAACUUGACAAGUUAAAAACUUUACAUCAACAUAGUGAUUCUAUCAGGCUAUACCUGGCAAUCACUCACAAUCCUCACUACUCUUAUAUAUAAGGAAAGUGGGUUUACUAAGGUUCUGUUCAUAGACUCAUGGCACAUAACUGAAUUCAAUAUAAACUUCUAUUACUUGAACCAAACAAAUAUGAAACAAUCACCUUACUUGACUAUACAAUAGUCAUCAUAUUUAAUAUCUAGUUUUCUACUAGAUUAUAUUCAGUUGUAUAUUAUUCAAUUAUGCCAUUAUAUAAAACUUCUAGUUACUUAUUAGAAUAUAUAUAUUCACAUAUGAAUCUAUCAGUGAAUGCAUAAACUAACAGAAAUAAUACAAGCAAGGAAUAUAAACGAUAAAAUACCUUUCACAUGAUCCAUGCCAUUCAUUCUACAAUUAGGAAUGCAUAUGCAAACACAGCUUAUCCUGAUCUUUCAGAGUUUAGCCAUACUUGUUAUCUGACAUUGCAUAGCUCAACCUAAGUACAUCAGUCUCUUUGGUUGUUCAAUAGAACUAAUUGAUCCAGUCACGAAUUUACAAUCUACUAUCCUCGUGAUAACAUCAAGCCAAUUGCAUAUGCAACUACUAGUAUAGAAUCCCAGUACUUACAGGUAACCAUGUAGAAUGGACAAGUCAUGUAAUCUUUCCUUACUAUUUAAAGAUGCUAUCAUUUUCGAUAUGAUUUACAUUAUCAGUACAUGUCUCAAUGCCUUUAAACUAUACAUAUAUUCACAUGAAAAUGAAAUAACUUCAACUCAGAUGUCAAAGAAGACAUAGAGAAAAUUCACCCAUUUCGGGAAGGUCGCGACCCACCUAUCACCAAGCUCAAUCCCCAAAAGAAGUUACGAACUUUGCUCAACGGAGCCGCAACUCUGUUGAAAACGAAACACAAAGCGCAUCAAACUACGACGAAAUGUCCAAUUCGACACAUUGUACUUAGUACAAAGCAAUAGUUAAAUUCAUAUUUUUAGCUCAGUUAAUACCUCAAGUAAGCUUCUAAAAGCCUUCACGCAAUCAGCCGGAAAUAUUCGAAAGUCAUCGCAAGCCCCGCUGGAACAAUUUCCAAAACGGCAUCAUAGUCCUCAAUUAUUAAUAUAUAUAUAGUCGGAAUCUUGCAAAUCAGUUUCCUCACAGCAAUAUCAGCUUACCCUUAGUUGGAACACCUUUCAAACUAGUCUCCCUGUGUCACUAAAUUAGCCCAAGUGGUUCAAGAACCUGCUGGCGAAGAACAAUGCAAACUGCAUCAAUUCGCUCUAAUAAACUUCAUACAGUUUCGAAAUUACAUCAUAAAUAACAAAUUACCUUUUGUCCAUACUUGGAGCAGCUUAUCCCUGGUCUAAGGGGUCAAUUCACAGCUAAAAAAACUCACCUCUAGCUGCUGGAAUCCCUGUUACACGCAGAUGAAGCAACGAAACCAAAACCGUCAAAAUCCGACGCUACACUACGGAAUUAGAGAGAAAUCACAUUAAAUAUCCCUCUAAAACUUCUUUCAGUGAUUCUCAGCACUAAACAUGAAUCAUAACUAUCAAACACUCCCAUUUUACCUUUUAAAAGCUGGCCUCAAGUCCCUAAAACACGAGCGUCGAGCGGACGCGAAACCGGCGCAAAACGGCGACUCCUUUGUAAGGGAGAAAAUCUAGAGAAGAGAGAGAGAAAGGUGUAGGGCAGCUCCUCUGAGCUCUAGCACACUCCAGCAAGCACCCCUGGUCGUGCUGGACUGAAAUAGAUAAGAACAAGAGGUGAAAUGACCAAAAGACCCUUGCUGCCGUACGUUUCUACCAGUCUGUACCGGUACAGGUGAUGGCUGUACCGGUACAAGCAAGCAGCAAAAUGCUGAUUUCAUCCGUUCAAUGCACUUUCAUGCUUUUAACUUUCCAAUGCACCCUCUAAUUUAUUCAAAAACUUUUCCAAGUCAUUUAGAACAUGUAAUAAUAGUCCACACAUCCUUCCUCACACUCGAACCUAUCGAUUCGCAUCGCAAACGUUCAUGUAUUACAGAAACUAUAUUUAUUAUAGUUCUCACCCCAUGCGGUUUUUGGGUACAGUACACACAGGGCGAGCCGACGAGGAUCGCGGCAAGGGCAUAGCGCCCUAAGUGAGCUUAGUUAGUAGCUUUUCCUUAUGCAUUAGAGUACCCUCUGGUACUAGAAGAUGUUUGGAUUGUUAGCGAAAGAUUAUUUUUUGUUUCUGAGAAAAACAUGUAUUUACAUUUUGGAAAUGAAAAUGUAUGUAAUCAACUUAUGUAAAUGUUUAAUGGUUGUAAUAGCUAGAUAUUUCUCUCUUUAUACACUUGUACAUCACUGUGGUUCUUGCUCUUAGUAUAUGCACUUGUGUGCAUAAGUAUUUGAUCAUGUAUGUUAUUAAGCAAUUCCUGGGCGACUUAAUUGUACUUGAUCAGGUUGACUGGCCUUGGGCGACAGGGGAGGCCUGUCAUUCGGCGUCCUCCGCCGCCUGAAUCGACCAAAUUGGUAGCGGCCUUGGGCGGGGGCUGUACAAGUUGUUGGUAUCAGAGCAGAUUAAGAGCAAGUAAAGAGAGGUCUAGGAUGGCACUAGAAGACCUAGGUUUGGCGACCUCUAUGGUGAUAAGUAGGUAAAGAAACGUGAACUAUAUCGGGUUGAGGAAGAAAUCGAUUAGGUCGGAUCGAGUAUAGAUCUCUAGUGUGGCUAGAGAUAGAUCGACCGGUGUUAGUUCCGAGCUCGGAGGAAUUGUGUUUGGCGAGCGACAACACGACGCUAAAGUUAGGACAAUACACUAGUGUACAUCGCUUAUGGCGAGUCGGUCGUAAUACAGUAUAUGCGAGAAGUUAAAAGGUUAGUGACUAACCUGAUUGUUGCUUUGGCAGGAACAAUGUCCCAAAGACGCUACAUACGUAGGUCCGUUCCGACACCAUCUCCUGAGGUGCCCGAGAAGCCGAUCCUAGUGUACAUCCGCUUAUGGCGGAGUCGAGUCGCGUAUACAGUAUAUGCGACGAAGUUAAGAGGUUAGGUGACUAACCUGAUUGUUGCGUUGCAGAACAAUGUCCCCAAGACGCUACAUACGUAGGUCCUUCGACACCAUAUCUCCUGAGGGCCGAGGAACCGGAUCUAGUGAAGUACAGGAGUUACGGGCGCAGUGUCGGCAUUGACCGCAUUGUACACACACAAGAGUCGGUUCGAGCAGCUCCAAGGGCUUAUGGAGCAUCAUUUGGCGGCGGCAACUGCAGCUGCGACUGAGGGCCGUGACGCCCCCCCGGCCUCCAGCUCGUUGCGCCAACGGUGCUAGGGCGAGGCAUUCCGGCAUAUCCGUUUGCGAACUCCUUCGCCGGCGAGUGUUCCUCCAGCGGUGUCGAGUCUACGACACCCGUGCGACGCAUUAGAGGCGGAUAGGAGCCGGCGCUGUGGCUCUCUCGAGAAUUCCGGAAGUUUAAUCCACCGAUCUUCAAGGAAGAAGGUCGAGCCUGUGAUGGUUGAGUCGUGGGUGGACUCGAUGGAGACCUUGUUUGAGGACUCUACACGUUAGAGAGGGCCAAGGUCUCCUCGCCUCCUGCUUUGAAGGACUGAGGUUUGGUGGAGCGAUCAAAGAGAAACAGCUCAACCUUCUGUCGUUGACCUAUGGUGAGGAGUUCUGAGGAUUGUUUUAUGUCAACUACUUCCCCGAUAGCGAGAAGAAGAAGCUCCAGGAGCAGUUUCGAAAGUUGAAGCAAGGGAACCGCACGGUAGCGGAAUAUGAGCGGGAGUUCUCUCACAUUAUCGACUGCGUCCCUGACGUAGUGCGAGACGAUAGAGAUCGAGUCGAUUGGUUCGAGCGAGGGCUCCGGGCUGAUAUCUAUCGGGCGGUGCACAUUUUGAAGCUCACUACCUUCGCGGAGGUGCUCGACAGAGCGUUGUGGGCGGAGCAAGGGAACGCUCACAUCCAGGAGGAGCGAGAGGCGUCCGAGAAGGACGGUGAUAAGAAGCGGGCUCAGAGUAGUUCGGGAGCUCAAACCAAGUCAAGGAAGCCCCCGAAGUACCGGCGAACGCAAUCCAAUGGCCGCGGAUCGUAGCGGUGCACAAUCUGUGGUGGGAACCACGAGCCAAGGACGUGUGAUCAGCGGGAGGGGAAGUGCUUCACGUGUGGACAGGCGGGGCAUAUCAGCCGCUAUUGUCUAGUGAGGGCUUCGCCUGCCCCUUCGGUCGCAUCGGCUCCGGCGACUCCGGCGCAUUAUGGAGGAGCCCCACCUGCUGCGUCAUCGGCUGGACGUGAGAUGGUACCACGCCAACCUGAGGCGACGAGAUCAGCUCCGAGCGGGCGGGUGUUCGCCGCCCAAACUGAAGCCGAGGAACCUGCUGAAGCGGAGACUGCCAUGUACUCGCAGGUAUGGUUUUAAUUGACGAAGUUUGCUCCAGGGCUAUGUUUGAUACAGGUGCUAUGCAUUCAUUCAUCAGUAGGUCAUUUGCACGCAUGUAUGACAUAGAACUACAAGAGAGUAAAAGCACUUGGAGGGUAUCGGGCCCCGGACAUGAUUUUCUAGUCCAUAUGGAGUGUUCGUCUUGUCCGGUGUGGUUGGGCGAUUGGAUAAUGCCCAUCCGUAUGUUGGUGUUCAAGAAGUUGAAAGACUUCGACGUCAUUCUAGGAAUGGAUUGGCUCUCGAAGUACUAUGCGACUAUUCACCGCAGAAGUAAAGUGAUUACGUUUCGCGAGGUGGGCCAGGAAGAGUUCGUCUACCGGGCUUGUAGAAACUCGUACUUUGCCGCCACGGUAUCGGCAACGAGAGCAAGGAAGCUAGUUAACAGCGGUUGUACGGCUUAUUUGGCGACCGUUGUAGAAGUCGAGAGGAUGACUCCUACGCUUGAGGAGCUGUCUAUGGUUCGGGAAUUUUCAGAUGUAUUUUCCGCGGAGUUACUGGGAAUGUCGCCAGACCGGAAGAUUGAGUUCGUGAUAGACUUGGUUCUAGGAACCGCGCCUAUCUCGAAGGCUCCGUAUCGGAUGGCGCCGGCAGAAUUGAAGGAAUUGCGGGCUCAAUUGAUAGAUCUCCUUGAUAAGGAAUUUAUACGGCCGAGUGUAUCGCCAUGGGGAGCCCCGGUUCUAUUCGUGCAAAAAAAGGAUGGAUCGUUUCGACUCUGCGUAGACUAUCGCGAGUUGAAUAAGGUCACGAUCAAGAAUAAGUACCCGUUGCCCAGGAUCGAUGAUUUAUUUGAUCAGUUGCAAGGAUCUCGUGUUUAUUCAAAUAUUGAUCUACAAUCUGGUUAUCAUCAACUCAAGAUUAAGUCGGAAAGUAUGCAAAAGACCGCGUUUCGCACGCGGUAUGGACACUAUGAAUUCACGGUCAUGCCGUUUGGGCUCACUAAUGCCCUAGCAGCGUUCAUGUAUUUAAUGAACCAUGUCUUCAAGGAGUACUUGGACCGAUUUGUCGUGGUCUUUAUAGACGACAUCUUGGUCUACUCUCGUAGCGACGAGGAACAUGCCGAGCAUCUGAGAAUAGUGCUUCAAGUCCUUUGGGAGGAGAAGCUAUAUGCUAAGUUUAAGAAAUGCGACUUUUGGCUCCGAGAGGUUGCAUUUCUUCGGCAUGUCAUUUCCGAGGGUGGAGUAUCUGUUGAUCCGAGAAAAGUGGAGGCGAUCAAGGAUUGGCCUCGCCCGACUAACGUCACAGAAGUUUGAAGCUUCGUGGGUUUAGCGGGCUAUUACAGACGGUUUGUGGAGGGAUUCUCGAAGAUCGUGAUUUCACUUACCCGUCUGACUCACAAAGGCACCAAGUUCGUGUGGAGCGGUGAGUGUGACCGGAGUUUCCAAGAGUUGAAGAAUAGAUUAACUUCGACUUCGGUACUCGCCUUACCGGUGCAAGAUGAAGACUUCAUGGUGUAUAGCGACGUGUCACAAUCGGGUUUGGGGUGUGUUCUGAUGCAGGGCGGGAAGGUGAUCGCUUAUGCGUCCUGUCAGCUGAAGAGCUAUGAGAAGAACUAUCCUGUUCACAACUUUGAGUUGGCCGCAGUGGUGUUUGCUCUCAAGUUAUGGAGGCACUACUUGUAUGGCGCGCGUUGCGAGAUAUACACGGACCACAAAAGUUUGAAAUACCUUUUCACACAAAAAGAGCUCAAUAUGCGACAGCGGCGGUGGCUGGAAUUGCUAAAGGAUUUUGAUGCGACAAUCCUAUACCACCCCGGAAAAGCAAACGUGGUGGCCGACGCACUUAGCAGGAAGUCAGUGGAGAAUCUCGCUAUGUUGGUCACACGUCAGGAGCCACUGUGGAAAGAGAUGGAGCGAUUGGAUCUCGAGGUGGUAGCUCCGGAAAUCCCGUCUAUGCUUACGGCUCUUGUUGUCCAACCGAACUUAUUGAAGCAGAUUAAGAGUUUGCAAUCUGCAGACCCCAAUCUCCGAAAGGUGCGGCGAGACAUCGAGAGUGGACACGGCGGUGAUUUUAGUGUAGACGCUGAGGGUGCGCUUCGGUUUCGAAACCGAUGGUGCAUGCCAGAGAAUGAGGAUGUCCGAAAGUUAAUAUUGCAAGAGACACAUCGCACUCCUUAUAGCAUUCACCCGGGCGGCACCAAGAUGUACCGUGAUCUGAAGAUGCAGUACUGGUGGCCGGGCAUGAAAGCGGAUAUUGGGCGAUAUGUAGCGCAGUGCUUAGUAUGCCAGCAAGUGAAGGCUGAGCGCCGAUUUCCAGCGGGAAAGCUCCAAAGCCUACCUAUCCUCGUUUGGAAAUGGGAGAAUAUUGCUAUGGACUUCGUGGUAGGAUUGCCCCGUUCGACGGAUGGCCACGACGCGAUCUGUGUGAUUGUGGAUCGUAUGACCAAGUCGGCACACUUUCUACCGAUUCACACCACCUGGUCGGGCGACAAGUUGGUGCAGGUAUAUUUGGAUGAAGUUGUGAGGUUGCACGGGGUUCCGAAGUCGAUCGUGUCAGAUCGAGACCCCCGUUUUUUGGAAAAACCUACAAGAAGCACUUGGCACACGGCUCGAUUUCAGCACCGCAUUUCAUCCUCAGACAGAUGGACAGUCAGAGAGGACUAUACAGAUUCUGGAGGAUAUGUUGCGGGCGUGUGUCAUUGACUAUAAGGGUAGUUGGGCAAACCAUUUGAGGACGGCCGAGUUCGCCUACAAUAACAGUUAUCAAGUUAGCAUUGGGAUGGCACUGUUCGAGGUCCUAUAUGGACGGAAGUGCCGAUCCCCUAUGUGUUGGAGCGAUGUAGGUGAGCAUGCGGUAUUGGGCCCAGACAUAUUGCGAGAGGCGAAAGAGAAGGUCCGUCUCGCUCGCGAGAGGCUACUUACGGCACGGUCGAACCAAAAGAGCUAUUCUGACAAACACCGUAGAGACUUAGAAUUCACGGUAGGCGACUGCGUUUUCUUGAAAGUUUCACCUAUGAGAGGUGUGAAACGCUUCGGAGUUCGGGAAAAGUUGAGUUCCCGAUAUAUCGGGCCAUUCGAAGUGUUGGAACGUGUUGGAGCGGUAGCGUACCGACUUGCAUUACCGCCGAAGCUCGCGGGGGUGCAUGAUGUAUUCCACGUUUCUAACCUUCGCAAGUAUGUUCCUGAUCCCAAGCAUGUUAUGUAUUACGAGCCGCCAGAUCUACAAGAAGAUCUAAGCUAUGAAGAGUUUCCGACAAUGAUUAUUGCUCGAGAAGUACGAAAAUUGAGAAACCGUGAGAUUCCCUACGUGAAGAUUCGUUGGACCAAUCACAUCGAUCGUGAAGCCACGUGGGAAUUCGAGGAAACGAUGAAAGUGCAUUAUCCUCAUCUCUUUACAGAAAUGCAAUGAGGUAUGAGUUAUUGAAUUCGUUUCGAGGACGAAACUCCUUUUUAGGAGGGGAGGAUGUAAGAAAGUGAAUUCUCGAAAUACGAGAGUUAGACUUCAUGCGAAAUCGACCAAGGGUCGUAUUGGUGAGCUUUGGAAAAGCCAAAGAUGUCAAAAUCACUAAAAGUGCAUUAGAAACGAGUCCACGAGAGUGAAUAGUGCAAAACCUGCACUGGAGCAAAGUUGCUCUCUGGGACCGGUCCCUGGCAGGGAGGGACCGGUCCCAUCGGCUGGUGGUUGCGGGGAUCCUUGAGGCAACCGGUCUCUGGUAGGGAGAGACCGGUCCCCGAACGUGAUCCCAGCGAGAAAAGCCAAAAUUUGGCUAAGUCCCGAAAUCCCAGCUCUUGGGAACCAGUCUCUCAGGAAGGAACCGAUCUCCCGG